RNAcentral lists this ribosomal RNA (472 nucleotides) under uncultured bacterium. RNAcentral describes it as "bacterial SSU rRNA". It matches the Rfam family "Bacterial small subunit ribosomal RNA", at positions 328 to 793 of the family's 1533-position model. The record is from RNAcentral.
CUCUGUGACUCCUACGGGAGGCAGCAGUGGGGAAUAUUGCACAAUGGGGGAAACCCUGAUGCAGCCAUGCCGCGUGUGUGAAGAAGGCCUUCGGGUUGUAAAGCACUUUCAGUAGGAGGAAGGUAGUGUAGUUAACACCUGCACUAUUUGACGUUACCUACAGAAGAAGCACCGGCUAACUCCGUGCCAGCAGCCGCGGUAAUACGGAGGGUGCGAGCGUUAAUCGGAAUUACUGGGCGUAAAGCGCAUGCAGGCGGCCUGUUAAGUCAGAUGUGAAAGCCCGGGGCUUAACCUCGGAAUUGCAUUUGAAACUGGCAGGCUAGAGUCUUGUAGAGGGGGUAGGAAUUUCAGGUGUAGCGGUGAAAUGCGUAGAGAUCUGAAGGAAUACCAGUGGCGAAGGCGGCCCCCUGGACAAAGACUGACGCUCAGAUGCGAAAGCGUGGGGAGCAAACAGGAUUAGAUACCCUGGUAG